Long non-coding RNA from Myxocyprinus asiaticus (Chinese sucker), 831 nucleotides. RefSeq lists it as uncharacterized. The transcript has 3 exons. The record is from RefSeq and is a predicted model, not a curated record. NCBI's taxonomy places the organism in Eukaryota, Metazoa, Chordata, Actinopteri, Cypriniformes, Catostomidae.
CAAAAUGGAUUACGUGUGGGAGCACAGAAAGUAUUUUUCCCCAAGAGUUGAUGGUGUGAGUCUACAGCACCCCUUUACUACGUGAAAAUGCUCGUGAAGUGUUUUGCUGUCACUCUAAAUGCUCUUUUUUUCCGACACCUGCAGAGGUAAAAUGGAGAUCACAUUCGAACAGCUAUGACACACUGCACUUUUUCACUAUACAAGCGUGUAAUUCUGCUUAAUUUGUUAAAUGCACCCUCCAACAACAACGGAGGGCAGAGGAGCGAAGCUCACAACAACGAGCGGAGCGUCGGGUGGCUAAAGCACAGCAAGUUGGCACAGUAGGGGGCACAGGUGGUCCAUCAGCCAGUUGUCUCAGUCAGUCAACCCGUGGCACCUGGGUCUGCCCCGUGACCUCCUGUCAGCGGGCUUUCGACACUUCACGUGGCCUCAAGCCUUUCAGUACACCAGGAAACAGAGCAAACAUGACAGAGUGACCUUUUGUCAAGCACCUCUCCUCUUCAUUGUGGACCUCGGCAUCAAAUGGCAUAGUUCAGAUCCGAGAGGGCAUGUGGACUUCCCUCAAGUGGGUUUCGUUGAAUUUGUAAAAUAGAUUUUGUCCACAUCUGAAGGUAUGAAAACGGACACACUCUGGGUCGAAUUAAGAGACAUAUUAAAACAGCAGGAAUGGGAUCAUGGACUCUUACCAAAGAGGAUCUAACUUCAUGUUGCUCACUGGAUUUCUAAAUUGAAUUUGGUGAUCCACGCGACCUAGAGUGGUAGAGAGAAACUGCCCGCCUUCUCAAGACCACCAGCCUUUACUCUAUGGGGAUAAAUGCAUGGAGUCUUUGG